This 499-nucleotide ribosomal RNA is filed under the name uncultured bacterium. RNAcentral describes it as "bacterial SSU rRNA". It matches the Rfam family "Bacterial small subunit ribosomal RNA", at positions 791 to 1289 of the family's 1533-position model. The record is from RNAcentral.
UAGUCCACACCGUAAACGUUGUACACUAGGUGUUAGUGAUUUGUUUCACUAGUGCCGCAGCUAACGCGUUAAGUGUACCGCCUGGGGAGUAUGCUCGCAAGGGUGAAACUCAAGGGAAUUGACGGGGGGCCCGCACAAGCGGUGGAGCAUGUGGUUUAAUUCGAUGAUACGCGAAAAACCUCACCAGGAUUUGACAUAGACUAGACGGAUAUAGAGAUAUAUCUUCCCUUCGGGGGCUGGUUUACAGGUGCUGCAUGGCUGUCGUCAGCUCGUGUUGUGAGAUGUUGGGUUAAGUCCCGCAACGAGCGCAGCCCCUACUGUUAGUUGCCAUCAGGUUAUGCUGGGCACUCUAGCGGAACUGCCGGUGACAAACCGGAGGAAGGUGGGGAUGACGUCAAGUCCUCAUGGCCUUUAUAUCCUGGGCUACACACGUGCUACAAUGGGCUGUACAAAGGGUAGCAAGACCGCAAGGUGGAGCCAAUCCCAAAAAGCAGUCCUC